This 253-nucleotide ribosomal RNA is filed under the name uncultured bacterium. RNAcentral's name for it is "partial 16S ribosomal RNA". It matches the Rfam family "Bacterial small subunit ribosomal RNA", at positions 524 to 776 of the family's 1533-position model. The record is from RNAcentral.
UACGUAGGGGGCGAGCGUUGUCCGGAAUUAUUGGGCGUAAAGCGCGCGCAGGCGGUCCUUUAAGUCUGAUGUGAAAUCCCGUGGCUUAACCACGGGCGGUCAUUGGAAACUGGGGGACUUGAGUGCAGAAGAGAAGAGCGGAAUUCCACGUGUAGCGGUGAAAUGCGUAGAGAUGUGGAGGAACACCAGUGGCGAAGGCGGCUCUUUGGUCUGUAACUGACGCUGAGGCGCGAAAGCGUGGGGAGCGAACAGG